Oryza sativa (Asian cultivated rice) is the source of this 79-nucleotide transfer RNA. It matches the Rfam family "tRNA". Rfam says of the family: Transfer RNA (tRNA) molecules are approximately 80 nucleotides in length. Their secondary structure includes four short double-helical elements and three loops (D, anti-codon, and T loops). NCBI's taxonomy places the organism in Eukaryota, Viridiplantae, Streptophyta, Magnoliopsida, Poales, Poaceae. The record is from Rfam.
UCCGUUGUAGUCUACUUGUAGCUGGUUAGGAUACUCGGCUCUCACCCGAGAGACCCGGGUUCGAGUCCCGGCAACGGAA